This 497-nucleotide ribosomal RNA is filed under the name uncultured bacterium. Its description in RNAcentral is "partial 16S ribosomal RNA". It matches the Rfam family "Bacterial small subunit ribosomal RNA", at positions 28 to 507 of the family's 1533-position model. The record is from RNAcentral.
GAUGAACGCUGGCGGCGUGCCUAAUACAUGCGAGUCGAGCGAACAGACGAGGAGCUUGCUCCUCUGACGUUAGCGGCGGACGGGUGAGUAACACGUGGAUAACCUACCUAUAAGACUGGGAUAACUUCGGGAAACCGGAGCUAAUACCGGAUAAUAUAUUGAACCGCAUGGUUCAAUAGUGAAAGACGGUUUUGCUGUCACUUAUAGAUGGAUCCGCGCCGCAUUAGCUAGUUGGUAAGGUAACGGCUUACCAAGGCAACGACGCGUAGCCGACCUGAGAGGGUGAUCGGCCACACUGGAACUGAGACACGGUCCAGACUCCUACGGGAGGCAGCAGUAGGGAAUCUUCCGCAAUGGGCGAAAGCCUGACGGAGCAACGCCGCGUGAGUGAUGAAGGUCUUCGGAUCGUAAAACUCUGUUAUUAGGGAAGAACAAAUGUGUAAGUAACUAUGCACGUCUUGACGGUACCUAAUCAGAAAGCCACGGCUAACUACGUG